UGAACUUACAAGUGAAAAAAGAAUGAAAAAUGUUAACUCAGUUAACAAACCUCUGGUAACCACCCACUUGGUAUCACAUCUUCUGGGUGCUUGGGAUGUAUCCCACAUGAGAGUGAUGACAGCAGGUGACCAGAAGUGCCUAUUUUCUCUCAAGUCAGGUUGGCCAUGGGCUAGGUACAGACUUGUGCCUCCAUCCACAGCCAGGCUUCUCUAGGGGAUAGAAAAUUGCCAUUAAAUUACCAUAGUUCCCAGGAGGCAAAGGAACUUGUGGAAAGUACACAGCUUGCAGAAUAACCUGCUGCCCCAGCUGCCCACGGGGGGCCUUCACGUGCCACUGUGGCCCCAGUGCAACCUGGACGUUUGAAGACAUAGACAAUUAAGUGAGGUCAGGAUCAGAGUGAAAGCUUCACGUUGAAGGCCCUGUUUCACGAAAUGAUUCACCUAUGGGGCUGUCACAGAUGUCAAGGAGAGGGUUCCUUCCAGGGGAGGGAAUGCAUUAGGAAAACACCUCACUGGAAAUAUUGUCAACAUCCUGACAGGUGUGUGCAGGGGCCAAAUACAAUAGAUACGGAAGGAGAGAUGCCUUGUUCUCGGAGACAAAGUCCUUUUCUUGUGAUUGCCUAAAGAACAGCUCUAAGGUGGGGGCAGAAACAUCCAAAGGUGUUUCUUGGGUUUUAUGGCCCUUAGAAGAAAGGGCCUUCAUGAGAUGCCCUCGCUUUGUGCUGGUCUCCCACAGAGAAGGUUCGCCAAUUUUCAGAUUCUCAAAUUCCCCAUGAAAGAAGUUAUUUUUGUCAGAGAGGGAAUUGUAAGUGGGUCCUUGAAGUCAAAUCCACCAUUGUUGUUCUCCUUUGACCUGGCCCUGGCAGCGACGCUGCAGAAAGACAUGAUUGAAGAAGGGGCAGGAGAUCUUAGCACCAGAGCCGUUUGUCUUAGAAGAAAGCAGGUUGGUAAUGAUUUUCAAUUAGAAAAGGUUUAUUGGAGAGACUAUCCUCCUUCACCUAGUUAGAAACUUCAUGGAGUGUGGGUGAAACCAAAAGUCAGGGGGAAUAGGAAUCCUGCUUUUCCACUGAACACAAAAUCGCCUGCAAUUUCUAUGACUUUCUUAUGUGCUCUAAGUAGGGUCAAUUAUUUUGGUAACCACUAUUUAGCCCCAGGACUUGAAUAGCAAUUGUAUUUGCUCGUUGUUCCAUUUAGCUGUGUUUCAGAAGAAAUAAGUGCUUCAGACCUGGGAAUUGCUUGUGGCUGAUUAAGAAAUCGCUUAGAUGCCUGAAUUAAUCUGUGUGGUGUCUGCUAG
Molecule: long non-coding RNA, 1294 nt
Filed under: Homo sapiens (human)
Lineage: Eukaryota; Metazoa; Chordata; Mammalia; Primates; Hominidae
Description: HSALNT0253278
Source: RNAcentral